UCGUUUUCUAAUUUUAAUACAAAAAACUUUUGAAGGAAAUACAUAAGCAAUCUCAGAAAAUUCCAAUGGCGGCUUAAGUUUUUGAAUCUGAUGAUUUCCCGCAUUGUUCACGUCUUACUACAACGGUCAAAAACCAUCAAUCAUCUUCUCCAACUCCACUCGCUGCUACUGAAAACUGCCAUUGACCGUGAUAGUAACUUCGUCUCCCUGUUCAUAUCAUCUUCUUGCUCGAUUUCAAUCCUUUUUGCGAGACAAGUUCUCGAUAACUUGCCCAUAUUGCCACCGGUUUUUGCUUGGAAUUCACUCAUAAGAUCCUUCACGAAAAGCUCAAAUCCCGUAGAAGCAAUUAAACUCUUCUCUCAGAUGCUGGAAUCCGGCCUUAAACCGGACAAAUUCACAUACCCUUUUGUUCUAAAAGCAAGCGGUCUGUGUUCGAUGAUCAGUCAUGGUGGGGCUGUUCAUUCAAUGAUUUUGAAGGUGGGUUUCGAAUUUGAUAGGUAUAUAGGGAAUACCCUUUUGAGAAUGUAUGCGGCGUGCGGUCAAAUUGGGUUUGCGAGGCAGGUGUUUGAUGAAAUGCUUGUGAGAGAUGUGGUUUCUUGGAGCUCUUUGAUUGCGGGUUAUGAUGCGUGCAAUUGUCCACGGAAUGCAGUUAAGAUGUUUCAACAAAUGAAACUAGCGAAUGUGAAGCCAAAUUCAGUCACUUUUGUGAGUUUGCUUUCGGCUUGUACCCGAUUACUUGAUUUGAUCAAAGGGAAAUCUAUUCAUUCCUACCUUGUGGUCAAUAGCACGGAGCUUGAUGUUGCUAUAGGCACAGCACUCCUUCUGAUGUACUCUAAAUGUGGGCAAAUUGAGGAAGCAAUCAAAAUUUUUAAUUUGAUGAGUGAGAAGAAUUUGCAGGCAUGGACAGUCAUGAUUUCUGCUCUUGCAGAUAAUGGUCGAGGUUAUGUUGCUAUUUCCUUGUUCAUUCAGAUGCAACAAAGUGGCCUGAAACCAGACAGCAAAUUGUUUUCAGUGAUCCUGUCUGCCUGUAGCCACACAGGUCUAGUUGAUGAGGCUCGAAGAUUUUUUUAUCAGAUGCAAAGAUUUUUUUGUAUUAAGCCAACAAUGGAGCAUUAUGGGUGUAUGGUGGAUUUGUUUGGAAGAGCUGGCUUGAUGGAAGAAGCUUAUGGGAUCAUAAGGGACAUGCCAAUGGAGCCUAAUGCAGUGAUAUUAAGGAGCUUCUUAGGCGCAUGUAGGAACCAUGGUCAGGUUAUUAGAAUAGACGAUAAUCUGAGGAGAUUUCUGCUAAAACUAGAGCCUGAAUUUGGAUCAAACUACGUACUCGCUGCUAGUGUUUCUUCUCUUUCUGGUUCUUGGAAUGAUGCAGCUCAACUGAGAGAUGCCAUGAAACAAAAAGGUUUGAAGAAGGUUCCUGGAUGCAGUUGGAUUGAGUGAGUAGGAAGCUAGCUGAGGAAGAUUCAGUGGAGACAAUCAAGUACCAAGAGGGGACUUACGCUUCAGGGAAGAGAAAUAGUGCAUCUCUUGGAGGCUUCCGGUGUUAUCUCUUGGAGUUUUCUUUAAAAAAUGUACCAAUUUCUUCGAGUCUGGAGCUUGGGACCUUGGAUACUGUUCCUAGCAUAGAGAAUCUCAGCUGCAAGUUGGGUUUGUCAAUGCAAGAGGGUCAAUCUGGGUACUUCCGCUCAUUUUGUGCCUUCUCCAAGUGAAGCUAUUGUUAAUACAAUAUUGUUUGAAAUGGUACUAAAUUUCCUUGGAUGCACACAGCAGUUCAUGGCUUCAUCUCCCAGAUCAAAAACUUCAAGUUUCAACCUAUCCGAGCAGUGGCUCCUGAUGGCAGCUAUAACUCUUGUCUGUGGAGUCCUGGGUUAUCUUGUCUAUGAUGCAAUAAUGGCUACAGCAUCAGAACUUCUGCAACGUUUACUGGUAAUCUCUCCUUUACUUCUGGUUGUUGUGGUCCACUGGCUCUCCUCAGGCAGCCAUUUUAAUUUCCCCAUGCCGGGUUCUGAGCCUGGUGCCAUCCACCGAGCCGGGGGCUCUCCUUGGGACACAGGAGAAGACACAUGGGGAGAGAAGCAAACUGGCAGAUGAUGUGAUGUAUCUCCCAUCUGUAAAAAUCAAUGAAUCAGCCAAAACCAACACCUGCAGAAAAAGCUGAAUUCUCUUUGAUUGAACCAGGACCCCUCGAUCUAUUCCCACGAGAAUCUAACGGUCGUGAUUAUAUACAUAGAUGUGUACUGUGGAGCAGAGAAUUAUCACCUUGUCAGGUUAUUGUUUUCGCGUGUGAGAGUAAUUGGCCUCGUAAUGCCUGGCACGUGACACGUGUGUGCCAUUGUCCGAGAACUGUCAUUGUACGGCAUGGAAUUGAUUGGUCAAACCAUAAAAGUCAAAAAUAAAAAUAAAAAGUUACAAAUGGGUGAAAAUUUCUUUUUUUUUUUUAAUUUUGAAAAUAAAUUUGGCCCAUCAAUUUCCAUGCAUAAUAUUUGUUGACAAAAGUAUA
Non-coding RNA from Carica papaya (papaya), 2494 nucleotides. The record is from RefSeq and is a predicted model, not a curated record. Lineage: Eukaryota; Viridiplantae; Streptophyta; Magnoliopsida; Brassicales; Caricaceae.